UACAGAGGGUGCAAGCGUUAAUCGGAAUUACUGGGCGUAAAGCGUGCGUAGACGGUCACGUAAGUCGGGUGUGAAAGCCCCGGGCUCAACCUGGGAAUUGCAUUCGAGACUGCAUGGCUAGGGUGCGGAAGAGGGAAGCGGAAUUUCCGGUGUAGCGGUGAAAUGCGUAGAUAUCGGAAGGAACACCUGUGGCGAAAGCGGCUCACUGGACCACAACUGACGCUGAGGCGCGAAAGCUAGGGGAGCAAACAGG
RNAcentral lists this ribosomal RNA (253 nucleotides) under uncultured bacterium. Its description in RNAcentral is "partial 16S ribosomal RNA". It matches the Rfam family "Bacterial small subunit ribosomal RNA", at positions 524 to 776 of the family's 1533-position model. The record is from RNAcentral.